This 301-nucleotide ribosomal RNA is filed under the name uncultured bacterium. RNAcentral's name for it is "partial 16S ribosomal RNA". It matches the Rfam family "Bacterial small subunit ribosomal RNA", at positions 509 to 807 of the family's 1533-position model. The record is from RNAcentral.
CAGCAGCCGCGGGAAUACGAAGGGUGCAAGCGUUACUCGGAAUUACUGGGCGUAAAGCGUGCGUAGGUGGUGGUUUAAGUCCGUUGUGAAAGCCCUGGGCUCAACCUGGGAAUUGCAGUGGAUACUGGGUCACUAGAGUGUGGUAGAGGAUAGUGGAAUUUCCGGUGUAGCAGUGAAAUGCGUAGAGAUCGGGAGGAACAUCAGUGGCGAAGGCGGCCAUCUGGGGCAACACUGACGCUGAGGCACGAAAGCGUGGGGAGCAAACAGGAUUAGAUACCCCAGUAGUCCCUGUCUCUUAUAC